UACGGAGGGGGCAAGCGUUGCUCGGAAUUAUUGGGCGUAAAGCGUACGUAGGUGGUUGGGCAAGUCAGACGUGUAAGCCCACGGCUCAACCGUGGAAUUGCGUUUGAAACUAUCUAACUUGAGUGCAGAAGAGGAAAGCGGAAUUUCCAGUGUAGCGGUGAAAUGUGUUGAUAUUGGGAAGAACACCUGUGGCGAAGGCGGCUUUCUGGUCUGUUACUGACACUGAGAUACGAAAGCCAGGGGAGCAAACGGG
RNAcentral lists this unclassified non-coding RNA (253 nucleotides) under uncultured Nitrospinota bacterium. RNAcentral describes it as "uncultured Nitrospinae bacterium contains 16S-23S intergenic spacer region". It matches the Rfam family "Bacterial small subunit ribosomal RNA", at positions 524 to 776 of the family's 1533-position model. Lineage: Bacteria; Pseudomonadati; Nitrospinota. The record is from RNAcentral.